AGAACGGUUCCUUCGGGGAUUUAGUAAAGUGGCGAACGGGUGAGUAACGCGCGGAUGAUCUGCCCUCAAGUGGGGGAUAACUCGGGGAAACCCGGGCUAAUACCGCAUAAGCCCUUCGGGGGGAAAAGUAUUUAUAUUGCUUGAGGAGGAGUCCGCGUCCGAUUAGCUAGUUGGUGGGGUAAGAGCUAACCAAGGCGACGAUUGGUAGCCGGUCU
This 215-nucleotide ribosomal RNA is filed under the name uncultured bacterium. RNAcentral's name for it is "partial 16S ribosomal RNA". It matches the Rfam family "Bacterial small subunit ribosomal RNA", at positions 68 to 293 of the family's 1533-position model. The record is from RNAcentral.